AACGAACGCUGGCGGCAGGCCUAACACAUGCAAGUCGAGCGCCCCGCAAGGGGAGCGGCGGACGGGUGAGUAACGCGUGGGAACGUACCCCUUUCUACGGAAUAGCCUCGGGAAACUGGGAGUAAUACCGUAUAAGCCCUACGGGGGAAAGAUUUAUCGGGAAGGGAUCGGCCCGCGUUGGAUUAGGUAGUUGGUGGGGUAAUGGCCUACCAAGCCGACGAUCCAUAGCUGGUUUGAGAGGAUGAUCAGCCACACUGGGACUGAGACACGGCCCAGACUCCUACGGGAGGCAGCAGUGGGGAAUCUUAGACAAUGGGCGCAAGCCUGAUCUAGCCAUGCCGCGUGAGUGAAGAAGGUCUUCGGAUUGUAAAGCUCUUUUGCCAGGGACGAUAAUGACGGUACCUGGAGAAUAACGCCCCGGCAAACUUCGUGCCAGCAGCCGCGGU
This 446-nucleotide ribosomal RNA is filed under the name uncultured bacterium. Its description in RNAcentral is "bacterial SSU rRNA". It matches the Rfam family "Bacterial small subunit ribosomal RNA", at positions 29 to 521 of the family's 1533-position model. The record is from RNAcentral.